GUGGUGAUUAAUGAAUGACAUAAAAGGUGAUUGGAUUGUUCUUGCAAUCACUCUGUAGUAAUUACUGACUAGUAUUCAGAAUGGACAAAUAUAUAGUGUGGGAUUCAACUAGUCCUUUGGAAGAUAACUUUCUGUGUAUAAACGUUGAUUGAAAGUGGGAUGUGACUGAAUGUUUGAGACUAAGAGCUUAUCAUUGGAGAAGAAAAAUGAACACUGCUUUGGGUCUUUAUGGAGAUCUCUAUGGACCAGAUGUAUAUGUGUCUUCUGAAGACCUGCCUGCUCUCCCCAGAGGCUGCUGCAGGCUGCUGGGUGCCAAGUGGCCAUGGCCCUUACCUUCUGGCUCAGGCAUGCUUCCUGUGGAAUGUCCAGUAUAUAUGGGAACAGUGUCCAGUAGCCACUGGUUUAAGUUUCCAGCAUCACAAAAUGGAAGGAGUUUGUGUUCCUUGGAAGAGAGCCUCUGAGGACAUUGGCCAGACUUGCCCUGGACAUGAGGGAGGAAUAACCCUACGUGUGAAUCACUGAGAUCAUCGUUACAACAUCCGCAGUGGGUGUGAAUAUUGUUCUCAAAGUGGUGUAAUGCAUCUGUCUCUGGAGAAUUCUUGUAACGAACAAGCAGAAAUUUGAGGCACCGCAGGCAAAGUGGGUUGAACGGCUGGCCACCUUCCAUUGUGUCUUGGGAAAGUCAACCGAAGUCCCCUGGAGUAAGAUUACAAGCAAAUAAAUAACUUUGUGUGGAAUUUCUAUGAAGAGAAGUAUGUGUGUGUGUGUGUGUGUGUGUGUGUGUGUGUGUGCCUAAAUGGCUUGACUAUAAGUAACCAGUUGAAUUUAUUUUAAACAAUAUCCUUCAAAGUAACUAUUAUAGAUCAGCACAGCAUUUUAAAUUUUUUAUUUUUAAAUUUAAGAACAGUGAAACUUACUUUUUGGGGUGUAGAGUUCUAUAGUUUUGACAAACUCAUAGUUGUGUAAACACUACCAAAAUAAAGAUACAGAGCAGUUCCAUCAACACUCCUUUGGGCCAUUUCUUUGUAGUUAAACCUUUCAUCCCAAACCCUGAAAAUCUUAAAUAUAUGAUUAUCUAUAUGAUUAGCUUCUACAAUGACUAGAACGAUGACCUGGAAUCAUAUUUUAAAUAUAUAUAAAUGUUUAUAUACAAAACAAAAUAAGUAAAACAAUAUCACCUGCACAUUUUAAAGUAAGGUUUUAUGUAUAAGAUUUCAUAUGUAAAUAACAAGAAAGCCAACUUUUCUUGGUCAAGAAAUGUUUACUUUGCUCAGUACAUUCAUUGAGUCGAGGGACAGGAACCAAGCCCACUAUUGUACCAACUUGAAUAAAAGUGCUUAUGACAUGUGCAUUGGAUUGAACAUCAACCCACCAAUUUGUACUUAUAAUUUUAAAAGCUCAUUCAUUACAGCUAUACCUAAAGAUGGGACACUUAGUGUUACAACUGUGCCUUAAAAACAGCCAAGAAAGAGAGGUGAGGUAACGAGGGAGAGGUGAAAGAUUGUGUGUGUGUGUGUGUGUGUGUGCCCAAGCUGGCCCUCUAGAUUAAUGAUAGAAAUUGACUUGUUUUUGUACAUGGACAAUACUAGAUAUGUAUAUGACUAAAUGACUGAAAGCUGAUGAUCUUAAGGAGAGAACUAUUAGAAAAAUUAUUAAUUCAGAUUUUAGACUUAUGUUUGCAAGGGUGAUCUUUGUUUACUUCAAUGAGACACCAGGAUUUAUAUGAAAAUACUGACUAAGGUUGGAUUCUUAU
This is a long non-coding RNA of Manis pentadactyla (Chinese pangolin), 1753 nucleotides long. RefSeq lists it as uncharacterized. The record is from RefSeq and is a predicted model, not a curated record. NCBI's taxonomy places the organism in Eukaryota, Metazoa, Chordata, Mammalia, Pholidota, Manidae. The transcript is spliced from 4 exons.